This 280-nucleotide unclassified non-coding RNA is filed under the name Hevea brasiliensis (rubber tree). Lineage: Eukaryota; Viridiplantae; Streptophyta; Magnoliopsida; Malpighiales; Euphorbiaceae. The record is from RNAcentral.
GCCACUUGUGGAAAUCACUCAGAAAGGAAGAAGUGACUUGAAAUCUUUAGCUGCUAAAGUUCUAUCUCACUUGAAUGUGCUUCCUGAACAGUCUUCCUUUUUCUAACGGCCGCAUCUACACUGAAGCAUAGCACAUUUCAUACCGUUGAUUUUUAGUAUCUCGAUCUGUUUAAUACACACAUUUUUUGAAUGGGAUCUGUCAAUUAUGAAUCUUAGUCUUUCAUAUGUAAACUGCCUCGUGGUGUAAAAACAAAUUUGAAGAUCAAUGAGUAAUUGUCAU